RNAcentral lists this ribosomal RNA (253 nucleotides) under uncultured bacterium. RNAcentral's name for it is "partial 16S ribosomal RNA". It matches the Rfam family "Bacterial small subunit ribosomal RNA", at positions 524 to 776 of the family's 1533-position model. The record is from RNAcentral.
UACGUAGGUGGCGAGCGUUGUCCGGAUUUAUUGGGCGUAAAGCGCGCGCAGGUGGUGCGGUAAGUCUGUCGUGAAAUCUCCCGGCUCAACUGGGAGGGUGCGGUGGAGACUGCCGGACUAGAGGCACUCAGAGGCCGGUGGAAUUCCCGGUGUAGUGGUGAAAUGCGUAGAGAUCGGGAGGAACACCAGUGGCGAAGGCGGCCGGCUGGGGGUGACCUGACGCUGAGGCGCGAAAGCGUGGGGAGCGAACAGG